UACGGGGGGAGCAAGCGUUGUUCGGAUUUACUGGGCGUAAAGGGCGCGUAGGCGGUUCGUACAGUCAGACGUGAAAUUCCUGGGCUCAACCUGGGGGCUGCGUUUGAUACGUGCGGACUUGAGUGCGGAAGAGGGUCGUGGAAUUCCCAGUGUAGAGGUGAAAUUCGUAGAUAUUGGGAAGAACACCGGUGGCGAAGGCGGCGACCUGGUCCGAUACUGACGCUGAGGCGCGAAAGCGUGGGGAGCAAACAGG
This 253-nucleotide ribosomal RNA is filed under the name uncultured bacterium. RNAcentral describes it as "partial 16S ribosomal RNA". It matches the Rfam family "Bacterial small subunit ribosomal RNA", at positions 524 to 776 of the family's 1533-position model. The record is from RNAcentral.